Coffea arabica (coffee) is the source of this 624-nucleotide non-coding RNA. The record is from RefSeq and is a predicted model, not a curated record. NCBI's taxonomy places the organism in Eukaryota, Viridiplantae, Streptophyta, Magnoliopsida, Gentianales, Rubiaceae.
AAUAGGAUUCAGUUUAGGCCAGGGCUAAACAGGAAAUGAAGCCUAGGUUGCAGGUUGCCGAUUUUGGAAUUCUUGACGACAAUGGAUUAACUUCGUGCAACUAUCUCCCUGGAAAAACAACCAUUCCAGCAAAGCUACUUUUGCGGAUUCGUUUCAAUUUGUCUGAUGGAAACUGGUCAUAUGGUUAAGGAUGGAACUCCACAAACCGCCUCAUGUUUCCAGGUACAAAAGCUUCUUCCAUGGCUCUUAUGAUUGCAACCAGAUCGCUCGCAGAAUGGUCAUUUGCAGUCACAUUGCUAGAGCCAGCUGCAGUUUCUCCGAAUCUUUCACUGAUUGCGAACCUACAAACAGGGCAUCGACCUUCGUUCUUCACCCAAGGAACAAUACAUUCCUCAUGAAACAUGUGGUUGCAAGGAGUAAUCGUAACCAUCUCUUUAGGCUCAAAAUCUUCUAAGCAAAUGGGACACCUCUUACCUUCUUCAUGCUUCUCUUUUUCUAGUUCUUUGGAUAUACCUGUUCAAGACUCUCUUUUGCUCUUCUUGGGAUAAUUUGGACCCGUCUUGGGGGCCUUGCACACUCGGUUGCGGCUGAAAAUUUGGCAAAGCAAUAGCUGCAGGUGGCCAU